This 259-nucleotide long non-coding RNA is filed under the name Mus spretus (western wild mouse). Its description in RNAcentral is "predicted gene, 26464 (ENSMSPG00010013271.1)". It matches the Rfam family "Nuclear RNase P". From Rfam's summary of the family: Ribonuclease P (RNase P) is a ubiquitous endoribonuclease, found in archaea, bacteria and eukarya as well as chloroplasts and mitochondria. Lineage: Eukaryota; Metazoa; Chordata; Mammalia; Rodentia; Muridae. The record is from RNAcentral.
GCAGGCAACUCAGCUGAGCACAGGCAGGGGUGGGGAAGCGUCCUUGGGCCCCUAGAAAGGUCUGAGACUAGGGCCUCCUGUGGCCCUAAUGAAGAUCUCCCCAAAUGGAAGAUGAGUUCCCAGAGUGGCAGAUGUCUCCUUCCACACGGGAGCGUAGAAUAGACUCCUGGUCACUCAUUUUGUUCAAUGAGUGGCUGCUACCCUUCCUGCCAGGAGAUGUGCUCACUCCCUGUCUGAACAAGAUGCAGAUGUAGGCUGU